Molecule: long non-coding RNA, 219 nt
Filed under: Eutrema salsugineum
Lineage: Eukaryota; Viridiplantae; Streptophyta; Magnoliopsida; Brassicales; Brassicaceae
Description: long non-coding RNA (ESAL_LNC001523)
Source: RNAcentral
GAACAUUGAAAAUGUCCCUAUGGUUGUAUCGAAAUGGAUCCAGUUGUCGAAGAAGCUCAGCCUGUGAUAACACUUUAUUUUGACCAUUUUAUGGAUCGUUUUUAAAUGCUUUUCUUAUGUUGUUUAUUUUUUUGAAGUUUUUUUUUUUAUUAUGGUGUUUUAGUACUCGUAGUUUCAAUACUCUUUUCAAGAAACUUAGGUAAAAGCUUUGCAAAGUGG